This is a long non-coding RNA of Pantherophis guttatus, 1256 nucleotides long. RefSeq lists it as uncharacterized. NCBI's taxonomy places the organism in Eukaryota, Metazoa, Chordata, Lepidosauria, Squamata, Colubridae. The record is from RefSeq and is a predicted model, not a curated record.
AGUGGCUCAUUUUUUUAUUAUUAUUAAUAGUGUUGAAUAUAAUUAACUGAAGACUCAUUUUUCCAGUUCCAUAUCAUAGCCUACAGUAUCUGAUUAAACAUAUAAGUUAGAAGUGGAAAAUAUAAUAUUAGGAUCUUAUUCUGGGAUCCUCAGUUUUUGGACCUUAAAAAUAAUUCUUUUUUAAGACUGAAGAUAUUUACACUGUACGUAUUUGGGCCCAAAAUUCCAGUGAGUGAAAUUCCAUUAAGGGAGGGGUUUCCAGCGGAGGAAAAAUGUUUUUCCUACAGGACUUUGAAAAACUAGAAAAUCUUUUAAAACACUAUAAGAAACAGAUUGUAUGGCUGCAAAGGUCACUUUGUCCUAUAGCUUGUCAUUUGGAAUUGAAGUUCUCAACUGAAAUCCAGGUAUGGAUAGGAAUUGAGCCCAGUGACCCACCAAAGGUAGCUGAAAUGGAUCCUCGCCCGAUCACAAGGCAAAUAAAGAUAUGAAAGAUGAUGAAAAGUUCAAAAGGUAAAGAAAAUAGCUGGAGCUCAUGAGCCACUACAAUGCAAAAUUUAGGAAGAAAGGAAACAAACAACAACAAAAAAAAACCUGGACAAAAUGUUUUUCAAUGUUUCUAUGGCCCAGUUUGUGACUUCUUCCACACAGCAACAUGCAAGAUAUAUAAAACGUUCUGCAAAAAGCUUGACUUUGGACCCUUGCAAUCAUGCUCAAACACUUAUCUCCUAUAACUCUGCUGUCCAGAUGGUAAAGAAACAUUUUUCAACUGGAAAGAGAAGUGCUUUACUUUUUGCAUGUAUUAUCUGUGCACACUCAGGUAGAAGCUACCUGAAAUAACAUUUCAAAGUCAUCCAUACUCUGCGGAGACUGAAGCAAUACCACCUUCUAAGUUGGCUGUGAAUUUUGGGAAAAGUCCUAACAUAUCUUGAGAAUAUUAAUUUUGGGGAGGCUGCUACUGAUCUUCAAACUCAUCAAGUCUUCAGAAUGUAGGACUGCGAAUGGAAUCACAAUUCUGUCUUAAGUUUCCUAAAACAUUCUCCAAGGUAAAAUGACUAAUUUGAUAGCUGACAAGUUCUAUUCAAAUUUAAUUAGCCCUGGAAUACCUUAAUCAAUACAUGGAGUUCCUCUUCCUAAUGUAGAAUUCAGGAAGGCCUACAGCCCCAGGAUAAAUACAUGGUUUUCAUUUAGAAGAUCUUAAGAUUCAAGUCUCUGUAUCCAAGUAUGGCAAUAAAAGACCUGUUGAAUAACCUGUCCAA